AGUGAACGCUGGCGGUAGGCCUAACACAUGCAAGUCGAACGGCAGCACAGUAAGAGCUUGCUCUGACGGGUGGCGAGUGGCGGACGGGGGAGGAAUACAUCGGAAUCUACUUUUUCGUGGGGGAUAACGUAGGGAAACUGACGCUAAUACCGCAUACGACCUACGGGUGAAAGCAGGGGAUCUUCGGAACUUGCGCGAUUGAAUGAGCCGAUGUCGGAUUAGCUAGUUGGCGGGGUAAAGGCCCACCAAGGCGACGAUCCGUAGCUGGUCUGAGAGGAUGAUCCGCCACACUGGAACUGAGACACGGUCCAGACUCCUACGGGAGGCCGCAGUGGGGAAUAUUGGGCAAUGGGCGCAAGCCUGAUCCAGCCCUACCGCGUGGGUCAAGAAGGCCUUCGGGUUGUAAAGCCCUUUUGUUGGGAAAGAAAAGCAGCAGGUUAAUCCCCCGCUGUUCUGACGGUACCCAAAGAAUAAGCACCGGCUAACUUCGUG
Molecule: ribosomal RNA, 492 nt
Filed under: uncultured bacterium
Lineage: Bacteria
Description: partial 16S ribosomal RNA
Rfam family: Bacterial small subunit ribosomal RNA
Source: RNAcentral